CAAAACAGCUAAUUGAAGAUCUUCAUUACCUACUAAGACACAGUAAUGCCACCGUUGACUUCACUAAAUGUUUGUGGAAUAUGCUGGUCUAGGAAUUUAAAAAACUUCUGUGAAUCUGGUUUCUCAAAUUUGCAGAAGGCAGUGACACAGUUCAGAGGACCAGAUUCCUUUAAUAUUCCAAAAGGAGCAAAACUUCUACAACCAACUGUGAAAUAUGACCAACUGAUCCGAAAGCUUUAACACUUUCAUCGAGUCGCAAAAUGCUGUACAAAAUUGUGGAAUAUUGUCAACUGUAUUCGUCGUAGGCGUUGUAUUUGCAGGGGCUCUCUUUGGACUGCUGAUUGGUAUUUUCUUUGG
This is a long non-coding RNA of Ostrea edulis (European flat oyster), 357 nucleotides long. RefSeq lists it as uncharacterized. Lineage: Eukaryota; Metazoa; Mollusca; Bivalvia; Ostreida; Ostreidae. The record is from RefSeq and is a predicted model, not a curated record. The transcript has 3 exons.